RNAcentral lists this ribosomal RNA (490 nucleotides) under uncultured bacterium. Its description in RNAcentral is "partial 16S ribosomal RNA". It matches the Rfam family "Bacterial small subunit ribosomal RNA", at positions 30 to 507 of the family's 1533-position model. The record is from RNAcentral.
AUUGAACGCUGGCGGCAGGCCUAACACAUGCAAGUCGAACGGUAACAGGAAGCAGCUUGCUGCUUUGCUGACGAGUGGCGGACGGGUGAGUAAUGUCUGGGAAACUGCCUGAUGGAGGGGGAUAACUACUGGAAACGGUAGCUAAUACCGCAUAACGUCGCAAGACCAAAGAGGGGGACCUUAGGGCCUCUUGCCAUCGGAUGUGCCCAGAUGGGAUUAGCUAGUAGGUGGGGUAACGGCUCACCUAGGCGACGAUCCCUAGCUGGUCUGAGAGGAUGACCAGCCACACUGGAACUGAGACACGGUCCAGACUCCUACGGGAGGCAGCAGUGGGGAAUAUUGCACAAUGGGCGCAAGCCUGAUGCAGCCAUGCCGCGUGUAUGAAGAAGGCCUUCGGGUUGUAAAGUACUUUCAGCGGGGAGGAAGGGAGUAAAGUUAAUACCUUUGCUCAUUGACGUUACCCGCAGAAGAAGCACUGGCUAACUCCGUG